UAUGGUCAAGUGACUAAGCGCAUACGGUGGAUGCCUAGGCGGUAGGAGGCGAUGAAGGACGUAGUAGCCUGCGAUAAGCUUCGGGGAGCCGGCAAACAGGCUUUGAUCCGGAGAUUUCCGAAUGGGGAAACCCGGCCACUUCAGGUGGUCAUCGUACACUGAAUACAUAGGUGUACGAGGCGAACCCGGGGAACUGAAACAUCUAAGUACCCGGAGGAAAAGAAAUCAACCGAGAUUCCCUUAGUAGCGGCGAGCGAACGGGGACUAGCCCUAAAGUGCCUAUAGUUCUAGCGGAACAGUCUGGAAAGUCUGGCCAUAGACGGUGAUAGCCCCGUACGCGAAAGGGCUAUAGGUAUGAAACGAGUAGGACGGGACACGUGUUAUCUUGUCUGAAUAUGGGGGGCCCACCCUCCAAGGCUAAAUACUCCCUACCGACCGAUAGUGAACUAGUACCGUGAGGGAAAGGUUAAAAGAACCCCAGUGAGGGGAGUGAAAUAGAACCUGAAACCGUAUGCGUACAAGCAGUGGGAGCAGACUUGUUCUGUGACUGCGUACCUUUUGUAUAAUGGGUCAGCGACUUACUUCUCAGUGGCAAGGUUAACCGUAUAGGGGAGCCGUAGGGAAACCGAGUCUUAAUAGGGCGAAUCAGUCGCUGGGAGUAGACCCGAAACCGGGCGAUCUAUCCAUGGCCAGGGUGAAGGAGAGGUAACACUCUCUGGAGGCCCGAACCCACUUAUGUUGAAAAAUGAGGGGAUGAGCUGUGGAUCGGAGUGAAAGGCUAAUCAAGCCCGGAGAUAGCUGGUUCUCCCCGAAAGCUAUUUAGGUAGCGCCUCAUGUCUCACUCCUGGGGGUAGAGCACUGUUUCGGCUAGGGGGCCAUCCCGGCUUACCAACCCGAUGCAAACUCCGAAUACCAGGAAGUGCAAUCAUGGGAGACACACGGCGGGUGCUAACGUCCGUCGUGAAGAGGGAAACAACCCAGACCGCCAGCUAAGGUCCCAAAAUUACAGCUCAGUGGGAAACGAUGUGGGAAGGCCCAGACAGCCAGGAGGUUGGCUUAGAAGCAGCCAUCCUUUAAAGAAAGCGUAAUAGCUCACUGGUCGAGUCGGCCUGCGCGGAAGAUUUAACGGGGCUCAAGCUGUAUACCGAAGCUGCGGAUGCCGCAAGGCAUGGUAGGGGAGCGUUCUGUAGGCCUGCGAAGGUGUGCUGUAAGGCAUGCUGGAGGUAUCAGAAGUGCGAAUGCUGACAUGAGUAACGAUAAUGGGGGUGAAAAACCCCCACGCCGAAAACCCAAGGUUUCCUACGCAACGUUAAUCGGCGUAGGGUGAGUCGGCCCCUAAGGCGAGGCAGAAAUGCGUAGCCGAUGGGAAACAGGUUAAUAUUCCUGUACCACUUAUAACUGCGAUGGGGGGACGGAGAAGGCUAGGCCAGCCGGGCGUUGGAUGUCCCGGUUUAAGCAAGUAGGUAGGCCCUUUAGGUAAAUCCGGGGGUUAUUACUGAGAUGCGAUGACGAGCCCUCUUUUGGGCGAAGUGGUUGAUGCCAUACUUCCAGGAAAAGCCUCUAAGCUUCAGGUUAUAUGUGACCGUACCCCAAACCGACACAGGUGGGUGAGGAGAGAAUCCUAAGGCGCUUGAGAGAACUCGGGUGAAGGAACUAGGCAAAAUAGCACCGUAACUUCGGGAGAAGGUGUGCCUCUGUUAGGUGAAGCGACUUGCUCGUGGAGCUGAAGGAGGUUGCAGUGACCAGGUGGCUGCGACUGUUUACUAAAAACAUAGCACUCUGCUAACUCGAAAGAGGACGUAUAGGGUGUGACGCCUGCCCGGUGCCGGAAGGUUAAUUGAUGGGGUUAGUCCUCGGACGAAGCUCUUGAUCGAAGCCCCGGUAAACGGCGGCCGUAACUAUAACGGUCCUAAGGUAGCGAAAUUCCUUGUCGGGUAAGUUCCGACCUGCACGAAUGGCGUAACGAUGGCCACGCUGUCUCCACCCGAGACUCAGUGAAAUUGAAUUCGCUGUUAAGAUGCAGCGUACCCGCGGCUAGACGGAAAGACCCCGUGAACCUUUACUAUAGCUUCACACUGAACUUUGAGCCUACUUGUGUAGGAUAGCUGGGAGGCUUUGAAACCGAGACGCCAGUUUCGGUGGAGCCAUCCUUGAAAUACCAGCCUGGUAUGUUUGAGGUUCUAACCCAGGCCCGUUAUCCGGGUCGGGGACAGUGUGUGGUGGGUAGUUUGACUGGGGCGGUCUCCUCCCAAAAGGUAACGGAGGAGCACGAAGGUACCCUCAGCACGGUCGGACAUCGUGCAUUGAGUGCAAAGGCAUAAGGGUGCUUGACUGCGAGACAGACAUGUCGAGCAGGUACGAAAGUAGGUCUUAGUGAUCCGGUGGCUCUUAGUGGUAGGGCCAUCGCUCAACGGAUAAAAGGUACUCCGGGGAUAACAGGCUGAUUCUCCCCAAGAGUUCACAUCGACGGGAGAGUUUGGCACCUCGAUGUCGGCUCAUCACAUCCUGGGGCUGUAGCCGGUCCCAAGGGUAUGGCUGUUCGCCAUUUAAAGUGGUACGCGAGCUGGGUUUAGAACGUCGUGAGACAGUUCGGUCCCUAUCUGCCGUGGGCGUUUGAGACUUGAGAGGAGCUGCUCCUAGUACGAGAGGACCGGAGUGGACGUUCCUCUGGUGUUCCGGUUGUCACGCCAGUGGCAUUGCCGGGUAGCUAAGAACGGAAGGGAUAACCGCUGAAAGCAUCUAAGCGGGAAGCCCCCCUCAAGAUGAGGUCUCACCAGUGACUUGAUCACUCUAAAGGGCCGUUGAAGACUACAACGUUGAUAGGCUGGGUGUGGAAGUGCAGUAAUGUAUGAAGCUAACCAGUACUAAUUGCCCGUGAGGCUUGACCAUA
Molecule: ribosomal RNA, 2890 nt
Filed under: Thiohalophilus thiocyanatoxydans
Lineage: Bacteria; Pseudomonadati; Pseudomonadota; Gammaproteobacteria; Thiohalomonadales; Thiohalophilaceae
Description: 23S ribosomal RNA
Rfam family: Bacterial large subunit ribosomal RNA
Source: RNAcentral